Molecule: transfer RNA, 75 nt
Filed under: Methanopyri archaeon
Lineage: Archaea; Methanobacteriati; Methanobacteriota; Methanopyri
Also listed under: 1 other name
Description: tRNA-Arg
Rfam family: tRNA
About the family: Transfer RNA (tRNA) molecules are approximately 80 nucleotides in length. Their secondary structure includes four short double-helical elements and three loops (D, anti-codon, and T loops).
Source: RNAcentral
GGGCUCGUGGUCUAGCCUGGAUAUGACGUCUGGCUUCGGACCAGAAGGUCGCGGGUUCGAAUCCUGCCGGGCCCA